AGUGAUACAUCGGAACGUGUCUUCUAGUGGGGGAUAACUGCCCGAAAGGGCAGCUAAUACCGCAUGAGACCUGAGGGUGAAAGCGGGGGAUCGCAAGACCUCGCGCUGGAAGAGCGGCCGAUGUCCGAUUAGCUAGUUGGUGAGGUAAAGGCUCACCAAGGCGACGAUCGGUAGCUGGUCUGAGAGGACGACCAGCCACACUGGGACUGAGACACGGCCCAG
This 222-nucleotide ribosomal RNA is filed under the name uncultured bacterium. RNAcentral describes it as "partial 16S ribosomal RNA". It matches the Rfam family "Bacterial small subunit ribosomal RNA", at positions 109 to 334 of the family's 1533-position model. The record is from RNAcentral.